Malania oleifera is the source of this 106-nucleotide small nucleolar RNA. Lineage: Eukaryota; Viridiplantae; Streptophyta; Magnoliopsida; Santalales; Ximeniaceae. The record is from RefSeq and is a predicted model, not a curated record.
ACCUGGUGGUGUGGGCAUUUACGUAAGAGGUCCCUAAAAUGCUCCCAUAUCUCGAAAAAUAGUUCCCCAUCCAAUUGUGAGAAACUAGUGAUGGUUCUCCUAAGUU